GAUAUUAUUGAAUUUCAUACUUUCAGGAAGCUUAAUCAAGAAGGUGGCAAUGCCCCCCGGAGCUGUUUCCUUGGAGGAUGUGGAUCUUGAUCAAGUUAGCGUUGAUUUUGUCCUCAAUUGUGCAAGAAAAGGCGGACUUCUUGAACUAUCUGAAGCUAUUAGAGAUUAUCAUGACAGUACUCUGUUCCCUCAUAUGAGUAAUGCAGGUUCAACUGAUGAAUUCUUUCUAGCUACAAAUCCUGAACAAUCGGGUUUGCCUCCAAGAAGAU
This 269-nucleotide unclassified non-coding RNA is filed under the name Hevea brasiliensis (rubber tree). The record is from RNAcentral. Lineage: Eukaryota; Viridiplantae; Streptophyta; Magnoliopsida; Malpighiales; Euphorbiaceae.